AGGUUAGAACCAAAGGGUUAAUGGAUCGAGUAGAGAAAUUGAUUAAAUCUAACCAAAUACUGAAUUAGAUUAAAUCAGAAUUUUUUUAGAACCAAUAUAAUAGUUGUAGAUAGUCAAGUCCAUAUCUUUGAUUAGAUCAAAUGGAUCUUGAUCAUGGCUCAGUGGUCGAGCCCAAGUCUUUAGGCAAACCUAAUUGAAACUAAUGAACCAAUUGGUGUCUAAGGUAAGUUUGGCAUUUCAAUCGAUGAUUUUUAAUUGGAGUGGCUUACCUGAUCAUUUUGAUGGUAUCUAUGGCAAGCUUAGCAUACCCUCCCACCGAUCUUACUUACUUGGCCAAUA
RNAcentral lists this long non-coding RNA (339 nucleotides) under Elaeis guineensis (African oil palm). RNAcentral describes it as "long non-coding RNA (EGUI_LNC057090)". Lineage: Eukaryota; Viridiplantae; Streptophyta; Magnoliopsida; Arecales; Arecaceae. The record is from RNAcentral.